This 27-nucleotide non-coding RNA is filed under the name Rattus norvegicus (Norway rat). The record is from RNAcentral. Lineage: Eukaryota; Metazoa; Chordata; Mammalia; Rodentia; Muridae.
UGUUUAAACGGAAAGCACGGUGAAGGC